CGAAACUUGCCCCGAGAUGAGUUCUCCCUGAGACUUUAAGUCUCCUGAAGGAACGUUGAAGACGACGACGUUGAUAGGCCGGGUGUGUAAGCGCAGCGAUGCGUUGAGCUAACCGGUACUAAUGAACCGUGAGGCUUAACCUUACAACGCCGAAG
RNAcentral lists this ribosomal RNA (155 nucleotides) under Klebsiella pneumoniae. Its description in RNAcentral is "partial 23S ribosomal RNA". It matches the Rfam family "Bacterial large subunit ribosomal RNA", at positions 2788 to 2925 of the family's 2925-position model. Lineage: Bacteria; Pseudomonadati; Pseudomonadota; Gammaproteobacteria; Enterobacterales; Enterobacteriaceae. The record is from RNAcentral.